UCGGGGACAGUGCAUGGUAGGCAGUUUGACUGGGGCGGUCUCCUCCCAAAGGGUAACGGAGGAGUACGAAGGUACGCUAGGUACGGUCGGAAAUCGUGCUGAUAGUGCAAUGGCAUAAGCGUGCUUAACUGCGAGACCGACAAGUCGAGCAGGUGCGAAAGCAGGUCAUAGUGAUCCGGUGGUUCUGUAUGGAAGGGCCAUCGCUCAACGGAUAAAAGGUACUCUGGGGAUAACAGGCUGAUACCGCCCAAGAGUUCAUAUCGACGGCGGUGUUUGGCACCUCGAUGUCGGCUCAUCUCAUCCUGGGGCUGUAGCCGGUCCCAAGGGUAUGGCUGUUCGCCAUUUAAAGAGGUACGUGAGCUGGGUUUAAAACGUCGUGAGACAGUUUGGUCCCUAUCUGCCGUGGGCGUUGGAUAUUUGAAGGGGGCUGCUCCUAGUACGAGAGGACCGGAGUGGACGAACCUCUGGUGUACCGGUUGUGACGCCAGUCGCAUCGCCGGGUAGCUAUGUUCGGAAGAGAUAACCGCUGAAAGCAUCUAAGCGGGAAACUCGCCUUAAGAUGAGAUAUCCCUGGAGGCUUGACCUCCUUGAAGGGUCGUUCGAGACCAGGACGUUGAUAGGUCGGGUGUGUAAGCGCAGUAAUGCGUUCAGCUAACCGAUACUAAUUGCCCGUAAGGCUUGAUCCU
RNAcentral lists this ribosomal RNA (686 nucleotides) under Burkholderia multivorans. RNAcentral's name for it is "partial 23S ribosomal RNA". It matches the Rfam family "Bacterial large subunit ribosomal RNA", at positions 2245 to 2925 of the family's 2925-position model. Lineage: Bacteria; Pseudomonadati; Pseudomonadota; Betaproteobacteria; Burkholderiales; Burkholderiaceae. The record is from RNAcentral.